CCAAGGAUUUCGAUUUGAACUGGAAGUCAAGAAGCCGAAGUUGUAGCUCUAGCCUCAGCCUCAUCCUACUGUGUGGUCUUGGGGAAAUCACUUCCCUUCUCUGAACGUGUUUCCUCAUCUGUGAGUUGUGCAGUAAUGAUUUCUUAAGUCUCUUUCAGCGGGGCCUUUUGAUUCUAUAAUUCUUUGUUUUUGCCCUGAGGCAAGAGGGAGCCAUGAAGAGUCUUAGAGUGAGAGACACGGCAACAGCUCUGCACUGACCAGGAGAUGUUCAAGGGCCCCGCCAUGCAGAGCGCACUGUCAGGGCUCAGCUGGAAUGGAUGGGGAUGGUGUGACUUGGCAGAGAAACGGGGGUACAUUUCUUGAGCACACCAAGCUAACUUUCAGGAGUCUCAGAACUGCGGUUUAGCGCAAGAUCGGUGCCCGGGGCAGAGGAGAGACACAAAGAAUGCUUUCUUUUGAAAUAAACCCGGCUUCUUAACCAAGCCAUUUUUGGGCAGGAAACAAUUUUCUAAAAACCAUAAAAGGAAACCCAGCGACUCCUUUUCUCCCACGGCAAGUCCUGAGUUGACAGUUUAGGGUUUUCCCUGUGUGUGAUGACAUCACACUUGCUGGCAUCUGGGCUUCCUGCCCGAUGUAUCACUUGUCAGGGAAACACGUAGCAGUUAGGGUUCUGCUGAAGGAAGACUCAGCUCCCUGGGUGGGCAGGUGGACGCCUUUCUCAUUCUCGGGCCUGCGGCAGAGCAGCUUGGCCCCGCCUGCGCCUCCGGCCUCGGCUGCCUCCCUGGGGGUGGGCGGAGUUGCUGGGACUCCCUGCGAAGCUGCAUUGUCAGUUCCGGGUCCUCAAAGCCGACAGGGUACAGCGCCUUAUGCCAGCAAAGCUCCUCUCCCAUUGUCCACCAUGUGUGCAAGGUGGAGCAGAACACCCGCAUUGGGUAGGAAUAAAGAAAGGUUUCUUCAGCCAGCCAGUCACAGUAUAGAUACAGGACCCAGGAUCGUACACGUAAAGCACUUAUUUCAGCAUCCAGCACAUGGCAGCUGCUCUGUAAGUAUCGAUUCUUAUUGUCAUUAG
Molecule: long non-coding RNA, 1069 nt
Filed under: Capra hircus (goat)
Lineage: Eukaryota; Metazoa; Chordata; Mammalia; Artiodactyla; Bovidae
Description: lncRNA (ENSCHIG00010018150.1)
Source: RNAcentral